GACAGAGGGUGCAAACGUUGUUCGGAAUUACUGGGCGUAAAGCGAGUGUAGGCGGUCUCAUAAGUCAGGUGUGAAAGCCCCGGGCUCAACCCGGGAAGUGCACUUGAAACUGCGAGGCUAGAGUAUCGGAGAGGUUGGUGGAAUUCCCGGUGUAGUGGUGAUAUGCGUAGAUAUCGGGAGGAACACCUGUGGCGAAGGCGGCUUUCUGGGCCUUACCUGACGCUGAGACGCGAAAGCGUGGGGAGCGAACCGG
Molecule: ribosomal RNA, 253 nt
Filed under: uncultured bacterium
Lineage: Bacteria
Description: partial 16S ribosomal RNA
Rfam family: Bacterial small subunit ribosomal RNA
Source: RNAcentral